This 246-nucleotide ribosomal RNA is filed under the name uncultured bacterium. RNAcentral describes it as "partial 16S ribosomal RNA". It matches the Rfam family "Bacterial small subunit ribosomal RNA", at positions 100 to 334 of the family's 1533-position model. The record is from RNAcentral.
CGUGAGCGGGCGGGACGGGUGGAGUACGCGUGGGUAACCUGCCUCAUACAGGGGGAUAACAGUUGGAAACGGCUGCUAAUACCGCAUAAGCGCACAGUACCGCAUGGUACGGUGUGAAAAACUCCGGUGGUAUGAGAUGGACCCGCGUCUGAUUAGGUAGUUGGUGGGGUAACGGCCUACCAAGCCGACGAUCAGUAGCCGACCUGAGAGGGUGACCGGCCACAUUGGGACUGAGACACGGCCCAA